UAACGAAUCUUCCCCAAUGCACGAAAGUGUGAGGGAGCGACGCCGCGUGGAGGAUGAAGUCCUUCGGGAUGUAAACUCCUGUCAGGGGUUAGAAAGUUCUGAUCAACCCCAGAGGAAGUGGCGGCUAACUCUGUGCCAGCAGCCGCGGUAAGACAGAGGCCACAAGCGUUAGGCGGAAUCACUGGGCUUAAAGCGUGUGUAGGCGGACCGUUAAGUGCUUUGUGAAAUCCCCCGGCUCAACCGGGGAAUGGCUGGGCAUACUGGCGGUCUUGAGCUGCCUAGGGGUCACUGGAACAAACGGUGGAGCGGUGAAAUGCGUAGAUAUCGUUUGGAACGCCCAAGGUGAAAACAGGUGACUGGGGGCAAGCUGACGCUGAGACACGAAAGCCAGGGGAGCAAACG
Molecule: ribosomal RNA, 402 nt
Filed under: uncultured prokaryote
Description: bacterial SSU rRNA
Rfam family: Bacterial small subunit ribosomal RNA
Source: RNAcentral